GUGCUUGCUUCAGCAGCGCAUAUACUAAAUUUGGAACAGUACAAAGAAUAUUUGCACGGCUCCUGGACAAGGAUGACAUGCAAAGUCUUGAAGCAUUCCAUGUUUUU
Nannospalax galili (Upper Galilee mountains blind mole rat) is the source of this 107-nucleotide small nuclear RNA. The record is from Ensembl. Lineage: Eukaryota; Metazoa; Chordata; Mammalia; Rodentia; Spalacidae.